ACUUCUUUUCUUACUGUGGAAAAUCAGGUGAUCCUCUAUUCUGAUAAUUCUGUUGUUGCUGUUGAUUUCUCCAGGAAAAAUUUGGAUGGUUCUUCCAGGCAGGCGUGUAGGUGUUUGAGUAUGGAUUGUUCUGUUGUCUUCCUUGGUUUGCCACAUAUUGCACUUGUUCUUGUACUGGAGGCAUGAAUGAGCUGUCAAUCGGGCAAUCUCGAGUAGCAUGUUGCCCAGUACACAUCUCACAGGUCUGCACACAAGUAUUGACAGCAUUAAUAGACAAAUGAUCUAAUUUUUUGAAAAGAGUGUCUACCUUUGCAUUGAGUGCAGUAAUAGCGUCUGU
RNAcentral lists this long non-coding RNA (337 nucleotides) under Elaeis guineensis (African oil palm). Its description in RNAcentral is "long non-coding RNA (EGUI_LNC052431)". The record is from RNAcentral. Lineage: Eukaryota; Viridiplantae; Streptophyta; Magnoliopsida; Arecales; Arecaceae.